UUUGACUGGGGCGGUCUCCUCCUAAAGAGUAACGGAGGAGCACGAAGGUUGGCUAAUCCUGGUCGGACAUCAGGAGGUUAGUGCAAUGGCAUAAGCCAGCUUGACUGCGAGCGUGACGGCGCGAGCAGGUGCGAAAGCAGGUCAUAGUGAUCCGGUGGUUCUGAAUGGAAGGGCCAUCGCUCAACGGAUAAAAGGUACUCCGGGGAUAACAGGCUGAUACCGCCCAAGAGUUCAUAUCGACGGCGGUGUUUGGCACCUCGAUGUCGGCUCAUCACAUCCUGGGGCUGAAGUAGGUCCCAAGGGUAUGGCUGUUCGCCAUUUAAAGUGGUACGCGAGCUGGGUUUAGAACGUCGUGAGACAGUUCGGUCCCUAUCUGCCGUGGGCGCUGGAGAACUGAGGGGGGCUGCUCCUAGUACGAGAGGACCGGAGUGGACGCAUCACUGGUGUUCGGGUUGUCAUGCCAAUGGCACUGCCCGGUAGCUAAAUGCGGAAGAGAUAAGUGCUGAAAGCAUCUAAGCACGAAACUUGCCCCGAGAUGAGUUCUCCCUGACUCCUUGAGAGUCCUGAAGGAACGUUGAAGACGACGACGUUGAUAGGCCGGGUGUGUAAGCGCAGCGAUGC
This 621-nucleotide ribosomal RNA is filed under the name Escherichia coli. RNAcentral describes it as "partial 23S ribosomal RNA". It matches the Rfam family "Bacterial large subunit ribosomal RNA", at positions 2269 to 2884 of the family's 2925-position model. The record is from RNAcentral. Lineage: Bacteria; Pseudomonadati; Pseudomonadota; Gammaproteobacteria; Enterobacterales; Enterobacteriaceae.